Xenopus laevis (African clawed frog) is the source of this 589-nucleotide long non-coding RNA. RefSeq lists it as uncharacterized. The transcript is spliced from 3 exons. Lineage: Eukaryota; Metazoa; Chordata; Amphibia; Anura; Pipidae. The record is from RefSeq and is a predicted model, not a curated record.
CCCACUAAUGAUGACAUCACUUCCUGCUUUAUGGUGGUCAGCGUGUCGCGGAUCAGUUUGCAGAUCAGGCAGUUGCGGGUCAGAAAACACCACGAGGAAAAAACGCCAACAACUGGAAGUACCGAGAGGCUCCGGUGAAGGAUCCAAAGAAAACCCGACAUCUAUCAGCGCAACUCCCGUGUGCUAAAAAUAAAAGAUUGUCUCCCACAAACCGGCAUUACAGCAAUGGAUUCCCCUUGGCAACAGGCAGCGACAUGUACAACCGGCAACAAGAGACGAUCACUACUACCAAUCAGGACUGCGCGUAUAAUUCAUUAAGGGCCGACUGCAUGUGAGAGUCGCUAAGUGCAAUUACCCGCAGACGAUUCUUCAAUUCCUGACGGUACUUCACUCUCCUCAGUUUAAAGCAACAGGUACAGUGAGCGCUGGGGACAGACGGAAGACGAGCCCUGCUCCCAUAUAAAAGGCAAACACAUGGGCAUCUAAGUCCCACUUCUGAUGACGUCACUUCCUGUUUCCAGCAACGGCACUUCCUGCUUUAUGGUGGUCAGCUUGUCGCGGAUCAGUUUGCAGAUCAGGCAGUUGCGGG